AAAAUAGGUUAUACUCCACAAACCACAGAGAACUGAGAUUGUUCAAAGACAUUCGGCUGCCAGCCUGGUCCUCUGCUGGCCAAAAAUGUAAUCAUACACAGCCUAUCCCAUCCACAAAUUGGUCCCACAAAUAAGAAACAUUAAUAACACGGGUAAAUAAGGAAUAUUAUAAUGAAUGAUUCGUACGCUUAUUUCCUCAGCCUUAUUGCAUUUUAUUCGGGAAGUUUUUCUGCAUCUAACCGUUAGAAAACAAUCACCACUGGGCUAGAGGGUGAUUAUAAGGUAAAACCAACUCUGAUGAGAGUUUACUUCCCAACAGCUUAUAAAAGGAAACACAUGGGCUUCUUAGACUCCAUACAGACAUUGCAGGGUAUCGCAAGUGGCGGCCCAAGGGCUGUGAUGGCAGGCAGAAAACAUAUCCUGUGUUUCCCUGACAUUUACUUUCUCAUCAUCAGGCCAUUUGAGUCAAGGAUUUAAGCUCUGCAGAUAUCACUAUCUUCAUCAAGAGGCAAAGAUGUUCUCAUCACACAAGGAAUUUGGGAAGUGAGGAAGAGGAGAGGUCAAAGAGGUCUUUUAGCUCCUCCUUAGCUGUGCUUGCAGGUUUUCUGUUGAUGUUUGUAGCUUCACCAUGAUUAUUUCCAUCGAUGCGCAGCUGGAUUCAUGAGAGAUACGGCCAUCUCGAGGGGCAGCGAGUGGUGCAAUGGCCGGCGGAUUAGAAGAACCACAGGGCAGUUCUCUCGUCCAGGCAGUGGCCCUGCAUUGAAAUAUAAAACCUGCACCUUCCACAGCCUUCCCCCUCCCCUGCUGUCCGGCUCCUGACUUCUCCCUCGCCCAGAAACAGCAAUCCGUCAUAAUUAAAUCAUUAACUGCUUCCCCCUCCCCCUGCCACACCGUUUGCGGCUCACUUUUGCAGGCUGGGGAGAUGGAAAGAAUGAAACCCGUGCAUUUUCUUCAUGUUUCCCUCCGAGUUUAAUUCUGCCUUUUGUGAAUUCAUGGUGUGCAUUGUUUAGAUUUAGAAAAAUGUUGCCAGUGCGAACUCCUCUGGUGUGCAUCACAAAAAAAUCAUUUUCAAUCAACAGCAUCAACAACUCAGACUCCAGGUUGGCAGAGGGGGCAAGUGUGGGGCCGCACCGCUAAGCAGCAGAACGUCUCCCCUCCUGGCAGGGAAAAGCGAGGCCCCUUGACCUGAGGUGCCAAUUACUAUUUUAACUGUCCUUCCCCACAGCCCCAGAGGCAGCUGCAAAGGAAAGCGCACACUGGGAGUCCCCACAGUGUCUUGCUGACUCCCUCAGGCUUCCAGGCAUUUGCCCAUCUGGUGAGGCCUCCAGAGCAGGGGGCCUAAUUAGGCGUCAUCUGGCCACCUGAGAAAGCUCGGUGGGCCUCCCCCAGCUUUCCCCUCCUCCAGGCAGGACUCCCCUCACCCAGCUGCGGAUCUCUGGAGCUUGUUUGGUUGAGCAGCUGCCCUGGCUAAUUAUUGGAUAGGAGGGUCCCCAGGUGGCUGCCUCAGACUGGAGGGGGUGGGCAGAGAGAGGGCUGAGGAACAUAAAGGACAGGGAGGGGAACAAUAUGAGAGGUGGUCAGGGAGGGGUCCAAGGGAGAAGAAACAGAGUGCAGAGUUGGAUGAGCAUUGCCAGUCAAAUCUCCUGAACUGGAAGAUGAGGAGGCGUUUCCUGACCUGCCGAGGAGAGUUGAUCCUAUCGCUGGGCCCAUCCAUGAGAGACCUUGCUGCCCCCCCGACUUCCCACCACACCAUAUAUUCAAUAUUGCUGCCCUUUGCUUCCCUUUUAGCACUCUCCUCCACACAGGCUUGCUCCUUCAGUCUAGGGACUAACCAACACUGCUUCAUUAGGGGAACAUGGCCUU
This is a long non-coding RNA of Equus caballus (horse), 1863 nucleotides long. The record is from Ensembl. NCBI's taxonomy places the organism in Eukaryota, Metazoa, Chordata, Mammalia, Perissodactyla, Equidae.